RNAcentral lists this long non-coding RNA (1921 nucleotides) under Medicago truncatula (barrel medic). RNAcentral's name for it is "long non-coding RNA (MTRU_LNC007352)". The record is from RNAcentral. Lineage: Eukaryota; Viridiplantae; Streptophyta; Magnoliopsida; Fabales; Fabaceae.
UUAUGAAGUGUGUUAUUUGAACAACUAUUUAUGAGACAACUUUUGAAACAACCAUAAAAUUAUAAAGAAAAAUUGAUAUUAACACGAAAACCAAAGCAAUAAAGAAAGUAAAAACAUAAUAUAAGGAUGAGGGAGAAAGUUGUCAUCAAAUUGUUCCACAGGUAUCAUUUCUCUCAAGUUAUAGUAUUAGUACAACGGAAGGUAAAACCGAGAAUUACAGUUUUUAGGGUGUUUCUCCCCUUUGGUAUUUUCAUUGCAGCUUUUACAAAAGCUUCCGUUGCAUCUGCAUCCCGCUUCUGCAGCCUCCUUUGUUGCCUCUUCAGCUUCCGUAGUGGCGGCUUCCACUUCAGUAACUGCUCCAUAAGGGAUAUUGCUAAUUUUUAAUCUAACUCAGAAUUCGUAGGGAUAUUGCUCUCAGCCCUGUCAAAUUUCAUAUGAGGCUUUCCGCCCCCCUUCCAAUAAUAACAUGGGUUGGUGUCUUCCUCUGUCUGAAUAUGCUGGGGUAGGUGCAAUCCUAUACCUUCCUUUCACUGAAAUAUAAAACACAACCCAUGAGUCUGGCCUCUAAUUGAAAACAUGUAAAUAUGACAUCCAAAAAUGAGAAUAGCAUCCAAAUAUAGCUCACAAUACAUGUAUACACUAAACCAUGAAAAAAUAUUGAUUCCUAAUAUAUAUAUAUAUAACAAAAACCAUUUCUUUAGUAUGGCAAAAACUGUUUUUAAUUCACACCAGAAGAUAUUAAUUUUGUCUGUCUUCAUUGGAAAAUAUAGGGUUGUAUACUAGAACCUCAGCACAAACCCACAACCAGCAGCUGUAUCUAAGCAAUAGACUAACAGCAUUGACAGCAACACUUUAUUACAAAUAGAUAUAACUCCGAAUAAAAAAAUAUUGCAAGGAUUAUUUCUCAUCAUUUCGUCACAAUUUUCAUUUUAACUCUAUAUCUUUCGUUAUUACUUUCAGCCUCACUCCAAAUCCUCUUGUCCGGAGAUUUUUUUAUUCAGCUAUUACUCCAUAUCCUGUAAUAUAAAUGUAAUACCAUGGUUUGUCUAAGUCGUAGGUUUGGGGCCGAACUCAACCCCACUGUGCGGCUUGUAAAGUGCAGAUUGCCUAGACAUUAGAGGUUCUAUUUAGGCCUUAUCUCACACCAAUGUGAGCCAUGAGUUUUUCUAAUACACCUGCUCACGCCUAACUCAUGGCUAACACAGUGGCCCAAGAAUGUAUCUAUGAUAGACACUAAUACCAUCUAAUGUUUUGGGACUGAUUCAACUCCAACAAACCAACUUCUAAGGUGAGGAUUGCCUAGGCUUUAUAAGCUCUACUCGGGCCUUAUUUCUAUCCAAUGCGAGACUUUGAUUCAGAUUUGCCCAUGAAACAGCAAACAUAAAACAAUACUGUAGAGAAGAACCCACUCCUAAAAGAUAGGGGAUGUACAGACAGGUCAACCUCUCCUACAAAUGGAAAAUCCAUGUUUUAAUCUCAUUCAAUACUCAUGUUCCUACAUUAACCCACAGGCUAGGGUUGUAAAGGGAACCCACACUGGUGAUUGGAGAAAACAAAUGCAUUUAUGAUAAUUUUUAUUCUAUGAUUGCAUCAGAUGCAUGAGUCACACCACUCAAGCUUCUUUGUGCAAAUUGGCUCACUUGACAUUCAGCAUAAUGGCUCAAUUUUAGCCUUCUUUUUUCAUACUGGCGGUGCUUCAUGAUGCCUCAACUUUGCAAAAUCAAAGCAAUUAAACAUAUGCGUAAUCAGAGCUGUCAUAUGUAGUUGAUUAUCAUUUCUUAUUUUUUUGCAUUUGUUAAUUUUCUUUUCCGAUUUCUAACAUUUAUAAGUUCUAGAACUGUAAAUAAGAAUAGUUUCUUGUAAUGUAUACACACAGCAAGUUUGUUCAUUUAUUAGUUAAAUCCAAUGCACGAGGCUCCCA